GGUUGGAUCAUUAACAAUAAAGACGAUACGGAGUCGAGUAGUGACAUAACUGUCGCGAUCCGACGCCGAAACGUACUACCCCACUUGUGAAUCGUAAACGUACUUUGGCAGCCCUCCAAAAGCCCUUCUUUUUAGAGGGAUGGGCUGUCAGCUCAUAGUUAAACACCUGUUUUAUUAUCAACGAGUUUUAAUGAGCAGCGAAAAGACCUUUUUUUAAAGGGUUGCUUCAAAGCUUCAUUUCUGUAUUGAAAUGAUUUGAAAACAACUUUUGACAACGGAUCUCUUGGCUCGCGCAACGAUGAAGAACGUAGCGAAUUGCGAUAAGUAGUGUGAAUUGCAGAAUUCAGUGAAUCAUCGAAUCUUUGAACGUACAUUACACUUCUUGGUAUUCCGAGGAGUAUGCCUGUUUGAGAACCGUUUCACUCCUCACACCUAAUAUUCUUGGUUAUCACAAUUUAGAAUAGUAGCGUCGUGGACUUGAGCCAUCAGCGGUCAAACGCAGUGGCUUGAAAUGGAUAAUCGGUGUUUGGAAAGCCAAUCUCGAAAGAUAUUGAAAAGGCUUUAAACCGAUAGACUUGAUGAUGAGGGAUUUAUCCUUCUUUUUUUUCAGUCCUUCUUGGUGUAAGAGCUGCUGACUUUACAACGAUGAAACGUUUUAACAUGCCAGGCACUCAAUCCUUGUGAUUGGGUGUAAACCUGAACUCAUGGUCUCAAAUCAGGUAAGAGAACCCGCUGAACUUAAGCAUAUCAAUAAGCGGAGGAAAAGAAACCAACUGGGAUUCCCUUAGUAACGGCGAGUGAAGCGGGAAAAGCUCAAUUUUGAAAUCUCUCAGGUUCCCUGAGCGAAUUGUAGUUUCAAGAAGCGUUUUUGGGGGCGGCCCGGGUAAAAGUCCGUUGGAACGCGGCAUCAUGGAGGGUGAGAAUCCCGUUCUUGAUCCGGCGUCCGCUCCUGUGUAAUACGUUUUCAAAGAGUCGGAUAGUUUGGGAUUGCUGUCCAAAAUGGGUGGUAAAUACCAUCUAAAGCUAAAUAUUGGCGCGAGACCGAUAGCGAACAAGUACCGUGAGGGAAAGAUGAAAAGAACUUUGAAAAGAGAGUUAAACAGUACGUGAAAUUGUCAAAAGGGAAACGCUUGAAACCAGUAUUGCGAUGCGCAAAUCAGUCGUUCAUUAGAACGGUGCACUUUGCGUAUUGCGGGUCAGCAUCAGUUUCGUUCGGAGUAAAAAGCUAGAGGAAGGUAGCCCUCUUUUGGGUGUUAUAGCCUCUGGUCAUGCUCUGGGUGGGACUGAGGUCUGCAGCCUUGCUUUUGGGACGCUUUCAGCCCUCUGACGUUGUGUGCCGGACAGCUUGCUGAUCGUCGCUCAAUUUAGGAGGCCCUGUUGGCUUACACAACUAGGCUUAGGAUGCUGACGAAAUGGUUUUAAACGACCCGUCUUGAAACACGGACCAAGGAGUCCAACAAUCCUGCGAGUGUUUGGGUGGCAAACCCGAGCGCGUAAUGAAAGUGAAUGUAGGAGGGAUCCGCAAGGAGCACCUUCGACCGGUCUGGAUUUUUUUGAAAAGAUCUGAGUAAGAGCAUGAUUGUUGGGACCCGAAAGAUGGUGAACUAUACCUGAAUAGGGUGAAGCCAGAGGAAACUCUGGUGGAGGCUCGUAGCGGUUCUGACGUGCAAAUCGAUCGUCAAAUUUUGGUAUAGGGGCGAAAGACUAAUCGAACCAUCUAGUAGCUGGUUCCCUC
This 1735-nucleotide unclassified non-coding RNA is filed under the name uncultured fungus. RNAcentral describes it as "sequence contains 18S rRNA gene, ITS1, 5.8S rRNA gene, ITS2, 28S rRNA gene". The stretch from base 706 to 1735 matches the Rfam family "Eukaryotic large subunit ribosomal RNA", at positions 1 to 961 of the family's 3401-position model. Lineage: Eukaryota; Fungi. The record is from RNAcentral.